CCUACGGGAGGCAGCAGUGGGGAAUUUUGCGCAAUGGGGGCAACCCUGACGCAGCAACGCCGCGUGAGUGAUGAAGGCCUUCGGGUCGUAAAGCUCUGUCAGAGGGGAAGAAAUGCAGGUGGUGAACAACCAUUCUGUUUGACGGUACCCUCAAAGGAAGCACCGGCUAACUCCGUGCCAGCAGCCGCGGUAAUACGGAGGGUGCGAGCGUUGUUCGGAAUUAUUGGGCGUAAAGCGCGUGUAGGCGGUUUGGUAAGUCGGAGGUGAAAGCCCCGGGCUCAACCUGGAAAGUGCAGUGGAUACUGGCAGACGUGAGUACGGGAGAGGAGAGUGGAAUUCCCAGUGAAGGAGUGAAAUCCGUAGAUAUUGGGAGGAACACCGGUGGCGAAGGCGGCUCUCUGGACAGAUACUGACGCUGAGACGCGAAAGCGGGGGGAGCAAACAGGAUUAGAUCCCCGGGUAGU
RNAcentral lists this ribosomal RNA (464 nucleotides) under uncultured Geobacteraceae bacterium. RNAcentral's name for it is "partial 16S ribosomal RNA". It matches the Rfam family "Bacterial small subunit ribosomal RNA", at positions 338 to 794 of the family's 1533-position model. The record is from RNAcentral. Lineage: Bacteria; Pseudomonadati; Thermodesulfobacteriota; Desulfuromonadia; Geobacterales; Geobacteraceae.